This is a long non-coding RNA of Passer domesticus (house sparrow), 1512 nucleotides long. RefSeq lists it as uncharacterized. The record is from RefSeq and is a predicted model, not a curated record. Lineage: Eukaryota; Metazoa; Chordata; Aves; Passeriformes; Passeridae. The transcript has 5 exons.
UGAGGCUGCCACCUUCAUUAGUCCUGGGCCUGCCAUCUUCAUCAGUCCUGGCCCUGCCUGCCACCUUCAUCAUCUCUGGCUCUGCCUGCCACUUUCAUCACUCCUGGGGUUUCCUGCCACCUUCAUCAGCCCUGGGCCUGCCUGUCUCCUUCAUCAGCUCUGGGGCUGCCUGCCACUUUCUUCAGCCCUGGCCCUGCCUGACACCUUCACCAGCCCUGGGGCUUCCUGACACCAUCAUCAUUCCUGGGGCUUCCUGCUGCCUUCAUCAGCCCUGGCUCUGCCACCUCCAUCAUCUCUGGGCCUGCCAUCUUCACCAGCCCUGGCUCUGCCACCUCCAUCAUCUCUGGGCCUGCCACCUUCUCCAGCCUCCCAAUGGCUGCUGUGGGUGAGCCAGCCUGAGCUAACCUGGGGGCAGUAGGAAGCCAUGAGAUCCUUGAGAAGAAAAGCCAAAUAUGAGCACUUUGCUUUCUUGCAGAUGCCAGCUUCAUCCUGAAAGAGCCCUGGGGCAGUGGGAGAGCUCUGCUGGCUCUUGUUCACCUGUGGUUAUUUCUCAUCCCCCAAGGCCUCUGUCUGCAGGAAGGCUCACGAGUGCUGCUGUGCCCAUACCAGCUGUGUUUGGUUUCUCCCUGCUCCUGUUUUCUCCACAGCACUUUGCUGCUGCCUGGCUGUGUCUUGUACAUGCAUACAAGCCAAAAGUGACCUUCAGUGUCUCACUGCUCCUGGAGCACAGGUGGAGGAGUUGGAGUGGAGCUAAUGGCCAUUUCUAGCAUCCCUGCAUGUUCCUCUUCUCUCAAAAUUUAAGGGACGUAUUUUAUUUCCCUGGAGCAAGGAGACCAGCGUAGCUCUUUUACACAUGAAGGAGGAAUGCCAGGGCUGGAUUAUUGGAGGUCUUAGAAACAAAAUGGGAUAGAUUAAAUGGCCACAAAGAGCUGCUAAAUAAGGAGUUGCCUUAAGAACCAUUGUCAAAGCAUUUGAAUAACCACAACAGUCCAGGAGCUCCAGCUUUAUGCAUAAGGAAGCCAAAAAAGGCAUUGGACCACCUGGGACCCCAUGUGUGAACCCUAUCCCUGUGCUUUGGUGCAGAUUUGGAGACUGUUGUCAUCUCAGCCUGCACAAGGAGCAGGGAAGACACAGAAACAUCUGUUUGGAGUUUUAAGCAGCUUGUUAGAUGAAUUCAGCACCUGGGUUUCCUGCAGUGAGUCAGAUCUCGUCUGCGCAGUACGGAUGAGAAAUGGAGAAACACAACACUCCCUGGGAUCCCUGUUCUCCUGGCUCCUGGUAGAUUGCUCAAGGAUCUCUCUGGUUUUGGUGACCACAACACAGCCAAAUGGAAACCUCAGUUUGCUGGGAGCUCCUGGCCAGGCUGUGAAAGCAGCACAAGGGACUUGGCUCUGGAUAGGAGGUGCAGAGCAGCUGCAUGAUGACAAGUCACUUCUGCUUGGCACCCGUGCCCACCUGCCCUGGGAUGAGUUUUCCACUGGUCUCUCUUCUGAGCAGUCUUCAGAGUUCUGA